RNAcentral lists this transfer RNA (75 nucleotides) under Candidatus Latescibacterota bacterium. RNAcentral's name for it is "tRNA-Trp". It matches the Rfam family "tRNA". From Rfam's summary of the family: Transfer RNA (tRNA) molecules are approximately 80 nucleotides in length. The record is from RNAcentral. Lineage: Bacteria; Pseudomonadati; Candidatus Latescibacterota.
AGGCCAGUAGCUCAACAUUGGUAGAGCACGGACUCCAAAUUCGAAGGUUGAGUUUCGAAUCCCCCUGGCCUGCCU